RNAcentral lists this ribosomal RNA (425 nucleotides) under uncultured bacterium. Its description in RNAcentral is "partial 16S ribosomal RNA". It matches the Rfam family "Bacterial small subunit ribosomal RNA", at positions 354 to 796 of the family's 1533-position model. The record is from RNAcentral.
GUGGGGAAUAUUGGACAAUGGGCGCAAGCCUGAUCCAGCCAUGCCGCGUGAGUGAUGAAGGCCUUAGGGUUGUAAAGCUCUUUCGUCAGGGAAGAUAAUGAUGGUACCUGAAGAAGAAGCCCCGGCUAACUUCGUGCCAGCAGCCGCGGUAAUACGAAGGGGGCUAGCGUUGCUCGGAAUCACUGGGCGUAAAGCGCACGUAGGCGGCUUUCUAAGUCAGGGGUGAAAUCCUGGAGCUCAACUCCAGAACUGCCUUUGAUACUGGAGAGCUUGAGUUCGGGAGAGGUGAGUGGAACUGCGAGUGUAGAGGUGAAAUUCGUAGAUAUUCGCAAGAACACCAGUGGCGAAGGCGGCUCACUGGCCCGAUACUGACGCUGAGGUGCGAAAGCGUGGGGAGCAAACAGGAUUAGAUACCCCUGUAGUCC